UUGCCCUUUUAAGGUUGCCGCGGUACUUUAAAAGGCUAACACAGAAGAGUAAAAGAACUCUCCAUGAAACCCAGAGGAAACUGUGCACUUCCUCUUUGGAUGAUGGAGGAAGGUCA
Small nucleolar RNA from Microtus ochrogaster (prairie vole), 116 nucleotides. The record is from Ensembl. Lineage: Eukaryota; Metazoa; Chordata; Mammalia; Rodentia; Cricetidae.